RNAcentral lists this ribosomal RNA (1091 nucleotides) under uncultured Gammaproteobacteria bacterium. Its description in RNAcentral is "bacterial SSU rRNA". It matches the Rfam family "Bacterial small subunit ribosomal RNA", at positions 57 to 1142 of the family's 1533-position model. The record is from RNAcentral. Lineage: Bacteria; Pseudomonadati; Pseudomonadota; Gammaproteobacteria.
GCAAGUCGAGCGGAAACGAUGGUAGCUUGCUACCAGGCGUCGAGCGGCGGACGGGUGAGUAACGCGUGAGAAUCUGCCCAUUUGUGGGGGAUAACUCGGGGAAACUCGAGCUAAUACCGCAUAAUCCCUACGGGGGAAAGCAGGGGACCUUCGGGCCUUGUGCAGAUGGAUGAGCUCGCGUCGGAUUAGCUUGUUGGUGAGGUAAAGGCUCACCAAGGCGACGAUCCGUAGCUGGUCUGAGAGGAAGAUCAGCCACACUGGGACUGAGACACGGCCCAGACUCCUACGGGAGGCAGCAGUGGGGAAUAUUGCACAAUGGGGGAAACCCUGAUGCAGCCAUGCCGCGUGUGUGAAGAAGGCCUUCGGGUUGUAAAGCACUUUCAGUUGUGAGGAAAAGUUAGUAGUUAAUACCUGCUAGCCGUGACGUUAACAACAGAAGAAGCACCGGCUAACUCCGUGCCAGCAGCCGCGGUAAUACGGAGGGUGCGAGCGUUAAUCGGAAUUACUGGGCGUAAAGCGCACGCAGGCGGUUUGUUAAGCUAGAUGUGAAAGCCCCGGGCUCAACCUGGGAUGGUCAUUUAGAACUGGCAGACUAGAGUCUUGGAGAGGGGAGUGGAAUUCCAGGUGUAGCGGUGAAAUGCGUAGAUAUCUGGAGGAACAUCAGUGGCGAAGGCGACUCCCUGGCCAAAGACUGACGCUCAUGUGCGAAAGUGUGGGUAGCGAACAGGAUUAGAUACCCUGGUAGUCCACACCGUAAACGCUGUCUACUAGCUGUGUGUGUCUUUAAGACGUGCGUAGCGAAGCUAACGCGCUAAGUAGACCGCCUGGGGAGUACGGCCGCAAGGUUAAAACUCAAAUGAAUUGACAGGGGCCCGCACAAGCGGUGGAGCAUGUGUUUAAUUCGAUGCAACGCGAAAAUCUUACCUACACUUGACAUGCUGAGAAGUUACUAGAGAUAGUUUCGUGCCUUCGGGAACUCAGACACAGGUGCUGCAUGGCUGUCGUCAGCUCGUGUCGUGGAGAUGUUUGGGUUAAUUCCCGCACCGAGGGCACCCUGUGCUUAUUGUGCGGCCUUAGUUGGGGCAUCUCAG